Molecule: ribosomal RNA, 492 nt
Filed under: uncultured bacterium
Lineage: Bacteria
Description: partial 16S ribosomal RNA
Rfam family: Bacterial small subunit ribosomal RNA
Source: RNAcentral
AGUGAACGCUGGCGGUAGGCCUAACACAUGCAAGUCGAACGGCAGCACAGUAAGAGCUUGCUCUUACGGGUGGCGAGUGGCGGACGGGUGAGGAAUACAUCGGAAUCUACUUUUUCGUGGGGGAUAACGUAGGGAAACUUACGCUAAUACCGCAUACGACCUACGGGUGAAAGCAGGGGAUCUUCGGACCUUGCGCGAUUGAAUGAGCCGAUGUCGGAUUAGCUAGUUGGCGGGGUAAAGGCCCACCAAGGCGACGAUCCGUAGCUGGCCUGAGAGGAUGAUCAGCCACACUGGAACUGAGACACGGUCCAGACUCCUACGGGGGGCAGCAGUGGGGAAUAUUGGACAAUGGGCGCAAGCCUGAUCCAGCCAUACCGCGUGGGUGAAGAAGGCCUUCGGGUUGUAAAGCCCUUUUGUUGGGAAAGAAAAGCAGCAGGUUAAUACCCCGCUGUUCUGACGGUACCCAAAGAAUAAGCACCGGCUAACUUCGUG